This is a long non-coding RNA of Acanthopagrus latus (yellowfin seabream), 3102 nucleotides long. RefSeq lists it as uncharacterized. The transcript has 4 exons. Lineage: Eukaryota; Metazoa; Chordata; Actinopteri; Spariformes; Sparidae. The record is from RefSeq and is a predicted model, not a curated record.
ACGCCUCCUGUGUCUCUCCACAGUCAAGAAACAGGAUUACUGGCCAGAAGAACACUUCACUUUCCACUCGAGUGUCCAGUCACAUACACUCUGCCACAUGCAUUCGGGAGGCAGCGUAUGGGCAGAGAGAGACAACGGCGAAAUCCAGUGACACACUGCCCUCAGCGCAUGCAUUUGUUUUGGUCUGAGACACCAGUGCUCCAUUGUGAUGUCCAGUGCCAGCAACUGCUGUGCAUCAGAGAGGACAGUCUGGACCUGUCCUUUGUGCCAAAAAGAUCCAAUUGUUCGGCGAAACAAUGCUGCCGCUCACCUAAAAUAAUUGAGCAACCCUCUCUCUGGUUGUCACUCAUCCUUGGUGCACCAAACGAAAAAGCCUCUGGAUAAUUCUUGCAGGGUCACGGGGGGCGACGGCAGAGCACAGCCUGAAUAAGUCUGCAGUUCAUCAUGAGGCCGACAUGUCGGGACAAACAACCAUCACGCUCACAUUCACACCUACGGACGAUUUAGAGUAAUCAAUUCACCUUUUUGCUUUUCUUUGGAUUGCGGGAGGAAGUCGGAGUCUUCAGAGAAGAACCCCACGCAGACACGUGGACGACAUGCAAAACUCCGCACAGAGGACGACAGCGAAAAAAAACAAAACGUACAUGUGAUUAGAUUAAAGUCACCGUUUCAGGCGCAUUAUUUUUAUGGGUGCAAAAAGGUGUUACAGGGAAGGUUGUAAAGCUAAUUGUUAGACCUGAGAUGCUCCGAACAGGAGGCAGAUGGCUUCAUUAAAACUGUGACAGGCUUUCAAUGGUAUUCAGCAGAUGAUUGAGAUUUAUGACCGUCUUUGGUUAUUGUCCUUUCUAGACAUUAUAAACUAUUGAUUUGUUAUUGCUCCACACAAAUACCGGUGCACACCCGCACAAGAGGGGAAAGAAAAUCCAACAACACACUUCCUUCGAAAGUGAAAGCUCGACGUGACAUACAUUCAGCCACCGUGCGCCUCGCGGAUGACAAUCAUGAUUUUCCAGGCGAUGGUUAGCGAGCUGUCGGGUGGCAGGCAGGGAGCUAAUGUCACUUCACGAGCUAAUUAUAAUCGAAACCGCAGUGUUUCUUUUUUUUUUUGUUUCAUUUUUCGUGCCGUGGUUUGAUUCAAAACAUGAUUAGAAAUAGACAAUGUGAAAGCUACUUAACGUGCACCCGCGGAGUCUUUGUGUGAUGUGUUGCCACCUUUUGUUGUCCUCUCAUAUUCAACACUACCCAGCUGACAUUCUACCUUGCAAUAAAGCACGGUGUAUAAUUUGAGGAAAUAAGCAGAUAAUUCGACAGCACGUGAGGAUAUAAUUUAGACACGGACAUAACUGGAACAGCGCUCUAAACUGCAGAAUGAUAAAUAUUUUUGGAGCUUGGCUUGAAACUUUUCAAAAUGAAAAGCACUCCCUUGCAACCUUCAGUAAGACCUAAAUAUAGAAAAUGGUUUUGCCUCUCAGAUGUUGUUGUAGGAGGACCUCUGAUGCAGAAAUUAGAGGUGUUUUUUUUUUUUUUUUUUUUAAAUGUUUAUGUACGUUUUUAAAGAAAUGCUGUUAUAGUUGGGAGCAGAAUUUCUGUUUAUUUCAUCAAGUACAAGACAAGAUCACAACUGACAAAGGAAUGAGUUCCACACGCCGAGGUUGGAUCCCAGUAUUUUCCGGCUCUCACAAGGCAGCGACAAGUUGCUCAGAUUAUUUUGCAAAUUGGAGAAAUGUGGAAAACAAAAUGUCUCCGGGUCGUAAUUAAUGCUUUUCUCUCCAGUCGUCGAUAUCGCGCGUUUCCUUGUGAAGCCGUGCACGCGGAGCGGCGAGCGGCGAUGUUUAAUUCAGCUGAGAGCAGGAUUAUAAAUACAGGUGAGUUUGAAUCAUAAUAAUGAAAUGGACAGAGGUAGACACAGCUGAAUGAUGAGAGGACUAUCAGCAGGAACCGGCUCAGCUAGCAGACAGGCCAGUGGUAAAUUAGGGGAAGUGUCUUAGGGAAGACGCUCACGUUGCUGAGAGAGAGAGAGAGAGAGCGGAUCCCAGAAGAGUUAUGUCAGGGUGGAUGGAGAAAUUCUGUAAUGGGCAGAGUGAGGGGAGGAGAGAGAAACAGGCGAGCAGAGCGAGUUGAUCCGGUGAUUAAAAUUAACCACAGUGCAGCGCCGCACUCAACAGGCGAGCUAACAGGCGCUGCUUGCUCCAACGCUGUCGGCUUUGCAUACCUGGGCGCCCCCGCUGGGAGAGGUCCCAGACGUAUACAUUCAUCGCGACGAGGCGGAAUUAAAACGAACACAGCGUGAGAUGAGCCCGCGUGCGCGUCCGCGGGGAGCGACGCCACGCUGACAUUCCUCUCUGAAACAGGCGGCACAUUAGCAGCACCCUAUCAAAAGAUCCAUCAUGACUAUUUGGUAUGCUAUUAAAGCAUAAUAGACAGCUGGAUGGCACUGCAUACCCAUAGUGCUUAAUCCAUGCCCUGCCGGUAUUCACCACUCACUAAAAAACAUUCAUAUGGCCUGUAGUGCAAUAUCCUACACACUUGAGAGGCUUCCAUUUAUUUGCUCUUGAAGCAUUAGCUCCGGGGCAAUACUACAUCCAUUACAGACGACUGCUCUCACUGUAAUGCAUUCAUCCUCCGUCUCUGUCUGUCUGCUAAUUUCUCAUCUUGAGUAACCAACUAAAAUGUGAAGUGCACUGUAAUAGGGGGAUCCUAGCCCACCGUCAUUAUCAGAUAGCGAGGUUAGGAGGCAUAAAACGAGACGGGGGGGUUUUAGCUCUUUUUUUUUUUUUUUUCGUAGGCCGAAGCUACAUUUGGUUAACAUUCAUUUUUUUAAGCACUUACUUUUAACCAAAUUUAAUGAUGCGUCUCCACAUCGAGAAAAUCAUCCACUUGAGCCGCACUGCCUGGAGGAGGUAGACCUUGUAGAGUGCAGUCAUUGGACUGGCAAAGGAGUCAAAGACUGAAAAACUCCAGUCGUACUUCAUAUUUAAUGAUCACAUCGUAUUAACUGUAUGUUUCCCAGCUGCUGGAUGGGGUGCCAUUAAUUCCAGUGCUGAAUCCUGAAGAGGCCAGACACUUUUCAACAGCUCAGAAGCACUGUUUCAUCACCAUAAU